CGCGUAGGCGGUCUGCUAAGUUGGAUGUGAAAAACUCUGGGCUUAACCCCAGAGCCUGCAUUCAAUACUGACAGGCUAGAGUUCUGGAGGGGAUAGCGGAAUUCCUGGUGUAGCGGUGAAAUGCGUAGAUAUCAGGAGGAACACCGGGUGGCGAAGGCGGCUAUCUGGACAGAGUCUGACGCUGAGGCGCGAAGCAGGGAGCAAACA
RNAcentral lists this ribosomal RNA (207 nucleotides) under uncultured bacterium. RNAcentral's name for it is "partial 16S ribosomal RNA". It matches the Rfam family "Bacterial small subunit ribosomal RNA", at positions 568 to 774 of the family's 1533-position model. The record is from RNAcentral.